Molecule: transfer RNA, 82 nt
Filed under: Ignavibacteria bacterium
Lineage: Bacteria; Pseudomonadati; Ignavibacteriota; Ignavibacteria
Description: tRNA-Leu
Rfam family: tRNA
About the family: Transfer RNA (tRNA) molecules are approximately 80 nucleotides in length. Their secondary structure includes four short double-helical elements and three loops (D, anti-codon, and T loops).
Source: RNAcentral
GCGGAUGUGGCGAAAUUGGCAGACGCACUAGACUUAGGAUCUAGCGUGGAAACACAUGGGAGUUCGACUCUCCCCAUCCGCA